GUAUCCGUAAAGUUGAUUGUAGCGCCCUUCACACGGGUGGGGUCGCAAGUUCAAUCCUUGCCGCGCCCACCA
RNAcentral lists this transfer RNA (72 nucleotides) under Erythrobacter sp. Its description in RNAcentral is "tRNA-Val". The record is from RNAcentral. Lineage: Bacteria; Pseudomonadati; Pseudomonadota; Alphaproteobacteria; Sphingomonadales; Erythrobacteraceae.